Molecule: ribosomal RNA, 468 nt
Filed under: uncultured bacterium
Lineage: Bacteria
Description: partial 16S ribosomal RNA
Rfam family: Bacterial small subunit ribosomal RNA
Source: RNAcentral
GCCUCCCUCUUUCUUCGUGCUUAACACAUGCAAGUCGAACGGAAAGGCCCUGCUUUUGUGGGGUGCUCGAGUGGCGAACGGGUGAGUAACACGUGAGUAACCUGCCCUUGACUUUGGGAUAACUUCAGGAAACUGGGGCUAAUACCGGAUAGGAGCUCCUGCUGCAUGGUGGGGGUUGGAAAGUUUCGGCGGUUGGGGAUGGACUCGCGGCUUAUCAGCUUGUUGGUGGGGUAGUGGCUUACCAAGGCUUUGCCGGGUAGCCGGCCUGAGAGGGUGACCGGCCACAUUGGGACUGAGGUACGGCCCAGACUCCUACGGGAGGCAGCAGUGGGGAAUAUUGCACAAUGGGCGGAAGCCUGAUGCAGCAACGCCGCGUGCGGGAUGACGGCCUUCGGGUUGUAAACCGCUUUCGCCUGUGACGAAGCGUGAGUGACGGUAAUGGGUAAAGAAGCACCGGCUAACUACGUG